CACGUAGGGUGCGAGCGUUGUCCGGAAUUAUUGGGCGUAAAGCGCGUGUAGGCGGCUUUGCAAGUCGGGUGUGAAAGCCCUCAGCUCAACUGAGGAAGUGCGCCCGAAACUGCAGAGCUUGAGUACCGGAGAGGAUGGUGGAAUUCCCCAAGUAGAGGUGAAAUUCGUAGAUAUGGGGAGGAACACCGGUGGCGAAGGCGACCAUCUGGACGGAUACUGACGCUGAGACGCGAAAGCGUGGGUAGCAAACAGG
Molecule: ribosomal RNA, 253 nt
Filed under: uncultured bacterium
Lineage: Bacteria
Description: partial 16S ribosomal RNA
Rfam family: Bacterial small subunit ribosomal RNA
Source: RNAcentral